This 149-nucleotide microRNA precursor is filed under the name Eutrema salsugineum. RNAcentral describes it as "mir-166 microRNA precursor family". It matches the Rfam family "mir-166 microRNA precursor family". From Rfam's summary of the family: This family represents the plant microRNA (miRNA) precursor mir-166. Animal miRNAs are transcribed as ~70nt precursors and subsequently processed by the Dicer enzyme to give a ~22nt product. In plants the precursor sequences may be longer, and the carpel factory (caf) enzyme appears to be involved in processing. The record is from Rfam by way of RNAcentral. Lineage: Eukaryota; Viridiplantae; Streptophyta; Magnoliopsida; Brassicales; Brassicaceae.
UUUGAGGGGAAUGUUGUCUGGCACGAGGCCCUUAACUCAGAUCUACAAUUGAUUAUAUAUAUAUAUAUCGCUGCUCAAUAACCAUUUAUAUACAUGAAUGAUCGAUUUAUAUGGUUAAUGACGUCGGACCAGGCUUCAUUCCCCUCAAU